Molecule: unclassified non-coding RNA, 336 nt
Filed under: soil metagenome
Description: partial contains 5.8S ribosomal RNA, internal transcribed spacer 2, and large subunit ribosomal RNA
Rfam family: 5.8S ribosomal RNA (bases 1-120)
Source: RNAcentral
GAUGAAGAACGUAGCGAAAUGCGAUAAGUAAUGUGAAUUGCAGAAUUCAGUGAAUCAUCGAAUCUUUGAACGCACAUUGCGCCCGCCAGUAUUCUGGCGGGCAUGCCUGUUCGAGCGUCAUUUCAACCAUCAAGCCCCCGGCUUGUGUUGGGGACCUGCGGCUGCCGCAGGCCCUGAAAACCAGUGGCGGGCUCGCUGUCACACCGAGCGUAGUAGAUUUUCAUCUCGCUCAGGGCGUGCUGCGGGUUCCGGCCGUAAAAAGCCUUAUUUACCCAAGGUUGACCUCGGAUCAGGUAGGAUGACCCGCUGAACUUAAGCAUAUCAAUAAGCGGAGGA